ACUCUUACGGGAGGCAGCAGUGGGGAAUUUUGGCCAAUGGGGGAAACCCUGACCCAGCAACGCCGCUUAAGGGAUGAAGUACCUCGGUAUGGUAAACUCCAUCGACCGGGACGAUAAUG
Molecule: ribosomal RNA, 119 nt
Filed under: uncultured Acidobacteriota bacterium
Lineage: Bacteria; Pseudomonadati; Acidobacteriota
Description: uncultured Acidobacteria bacterium partial 16S small subunit ribosomal RNA
Rfam family: Bacterial small subunit ribosomal RNA
Source: RNAcentral